AGAAACAGCUUCUUAUAAAGUAUUGUUUUACAGGCUAAUAUUUUUUUAUGUAAUGUAUGGUAUUCAAAUGUAAUUAUAAAUAGGAUUGGGAUAAUACAAAAAUAUACUUUUUGCUUAGUGAUAUCUAUUACAUUGUGACAGAAUUUGGUUUCUCAAUAAUUCUCAUCCUGAGUGCCAAACUGAUCAAUUGCAUCCUAAUGGAACGUUCAAGAUGUGAUUCAGUAACUGAUACGGUAGUUGCAAUAAUUAUUUUUGACCAAAUGAUUACGAACAAGUGCCAGCUAUCUUUGGAGAGGUAAUGCACCUACUCUGAUAUCCCGUGAUAAGAACUUGGGAGAGAUUUAGUGAAAACCUGGAGAACGGCCACUUAGCUCACAAAUCUGAGCUGUUCACAUCAAGCCGAUAUUUGUGACAGCCAUUAUAGCUUUAAUCAUGUAAGUAAACACUUGAUCAGACUAUAAUUUUCAAUUAUUUGUAUCAAUUAACUGCGCCCGGUUCUACUCAGAAUAACAACGGCACAGGUUUCUUUCUUUAAACUACAACAGUACUAUCACCGACAGGAGUCGAGUCGGAGCAGUGGUAGCGGACUGUCGUGUUUCGAGGAG
Molecule: long non-coding RNA, 605 nt
Organism: Nilaparvata lugens (brown planthopper)
Lineage: Eukaryota; Metazoa; Arthropoda; Insecta; Hemiptera; Delphacidae
Exons: 3
Source: RefSeq, a predicted model, not a curated record